RNAcentral lists this ribosomal RNA (509 nucleotides) under Scymnus kawamurai. RNAcentral's name for it is "partial large subunit ribosomal RNA". The stretch from base 383 to 509 matches the Rfam family "Archaeal large subunit ribosomal RNA", at positions 2542 to 2669 of the family's 2987-position model. Lineage: Eukaryota; Metazoa; Arthropoda; Insecta; Coleoptera; Coccinellidae. The record is from RNAcentral.
CUCUUUUUGAUUAUAAUUUAAAGUAGGGCCUGCCCACUGAUAAUUUAAAGGGCCGCAGUAUCUUAACUGUGCAAAGGUAGCAUAAUCAUUAGUUUUUUAAUUGAAAGCUGGAAUGAAUGGUUUGAUGAGAAAAUUUCUGUUUCAAUAUUAAUUUUUUAAAAUUUUAUUUUUAAGUUAAAAAGCUUAAAUAAAUAUAAAAGACGAGAAGACCCUAUAGAGUUUAAUUAAUUAUUAAUUUUUUUAAAUUAGAAUUUAUUUUAAAGGAUUUAUUUAUUAAUUUGAUUGGGGUGAUUAAAAAAUUAGAAAAACUUUUUUUAAAUUUUUACAUUUAUUUAUGAAUAUUUGAUCCAUUUAUAUGAUUAAAAGAAUAAAUUACCUUAGGGAUAACAGCGUAAUUUUUUUUAAGAGUUCUUAUUUAAAGAAAAGUUUGCGACCUCGAUGUUGGAUUAAAAUUAAUUUUUGGUGUAGAAGCUAAAAAAUUAGGUCUGUUCGACCUUUAAAAUUUUACA